Ostrea edulis (European flat oyster) is the source of this 1856-nucleotide long non-coding RNA. RefSeq lists it as uncharacterized. The transcript has 4 exons. Lineage: Eukaryota; Metazoa; Mollusca; Bivalvia; Ostreida; Ostreidae. The record is from RefSeq and is a predicted model, not a curated record.
ACUGGAAUCGGGUUGUUCGUCCGUCUGUAGACGCAAUGGUUUCCGGGCUCUAAAGCAUUAUCCUUUCCACCUACCGUCACCAUAUCAUAUAUAUGGACUAGCCAUGGGAUGAAGAUGUUCCCUAUCGAUUUUGGGGUCAAAAGGUCAAAGGUCACGCGCACUGGACAUCAAAGUAGCAAUAUGGUUUCCAUUUAAAUUCUUUAACGGCUUUUUUCAUCGCAUGGAGAUGCUGUGUUCCUAGAUACCUUUUGGAUCAUAAUAUUGAAGUUUUACCUAUUUCCAACACCCUUUAGGAGAUUGGGUAAAGCGAGGGGUAUUCUUAGUGAGCAUUGCUCACAGUACCUCUUGUUUUAACAGGUUGUUUUUUUUACAAUAACUAUCGGAAAAGACUAACAAAAUUGAUGUUCCUAUCAUGCAUAAAUCUAAAUAAAUCAUUGAUUUUGCAAAAUCUGAUGACAUCAUAGGAGGGUGGAAUUACUUUAAGUUAUGUUUAGUGCUGUGUGUAUAUAAACAUGCACUCAUAUAAUUAUAUCUUCCCUCUUCCAGGGGGAGACAUAUUGUAUUUGUACUUUCUGUCCGUCCUUCCUUCUGUCACAAAAUCUUGUGAACGCUUCUCCACCUAUAUGGCUUAUCAGAUAGACUUGAAACUUUGUACAAUGCUUCAUUGUCAUUUGCAGAUGUGAAUAUUGUUGGGACGGGAGGAUCCAAUUGUUUUCCUAAGAGUUAUAGUGGAUCUAAGAGGGGUGGAAGAUGUAAAAUAGCUUAUGAACUCUUCUCCUCCCAUAUGGCUUAUUGGAUAGACUUGAAACUUUGUACAAUGCUUAAUUGUCAUUUGUAGAUGUGCAUAUUGUCGGAAUGGGAGGAUCCAAAGUUUUUCCUAAAAGAUAUAGUGGAUCUAAAAGGGGUGGAGGAUGUUAAAAUACCUUGUGAACACUUCUCCUAUAUGGCUUAUCUGAUAGACUUGAGAAUUUGUACAAUGCUUCAAUGCCAUUUGUAGAUGUGCAAGUUGUAGGGACAGGAGGAUCCAAUUGCUAUCCUUAAAGUUAAAGUGGAUCUGAGGGGUGUAGGGUAUAAAAUAGUGUGUGAACGCUUCUCCUCCUAUAUGGCUUAUCAGAGUUCAUGUCUAUCUUCCUGCCCAUGCUUUCUCCUCCAUACUAUUCAAUACAUUAAGGGGGAUGUUUCCUAUAUUUUACGAAUUAAUUGGUUGAUUGACAACAAACUUGGUACAGUUGUACAGCAUAUAUAAGGAGUAGAUGACCCCUAUUGAUUCUUAGGUCACAUGGUCAGUCCACUCUUGACAUAGGAAGGUAUUGUCUGCUCAAUAUUUUGAAUUGGUGUAACUACUAUCAAUUAAAUGAGGCACGGGUAUAACCCUUUCAAUUUUGCAACUUGGGGGGCAUAUGUGUUUUAGAAACAUCUCUUGUGUUGAAUUAUAUGAAUUACAGUUUUUAGUGUGCUCAGUUUAGAGAAUAGCAUAAAAGUAUUUGAUAAUUAAAUAUCUUGCAGAUUGGCAGUUUACUCCAUGCACCGACAGGAAUGAUAAACUGUGAUAUUCGUAAAUGGAACUGGGACACGUUCUAAAUAUACUCAGGGACAGAAUGAUGUGCAGCAAGGCUCGUCAUGGAUUUUACCAAAUACAGAACACUGCAAGGCUUGCAAAAUGAAGACCUCAGUAAAAAAAAUUCUAAAUUAUCCACUAAUGGCAGCUCACUACCUGCCCCUUGUGAUGUUAAAAGAGGCCGUUGUUCUCAUUUGUUCCAAAACAGGAAUGGCAUAUGAGGAGGCCAACAGAAGAUGCACCUCCACUGACCUCCACGGAGUGUGCACUCACAAAACGAAUAAAUUAUUAUUUCUUU